This is a non-coding RNA of Peromyscus maniculatus bairdii (prairie deer mouse), 3463 nucleotides long. Lineage: Eukaryota; Metazoa; Chordata; Mammalia; Rodentia; Cricetidae. The record is from RefSeq and is a predicted model, not a curated record.
AUGUGAUCUACACACAGGUGAGGAGUAGUGACGUGACCUGGCCACGCCCCCAGCCGGUUUUUAAAGUGGAGCGCCAUAUUCCCGGUUCUCUCUCUCUCUCCUUCUCUCAUCUUGGAUAAUGUGGUCAGUAAUACUGGAGAGGAAACUGGAGCUGAUACCCAAAGAAGGAGCUGUCAGUCAUGUGACCAGUGGGGAAAAUAUUUUCUGAAAACAGCACGGUUCAGCUGAGAGCCAUUCCGAUAUGAGGACACAGAGGCUUCCAGUCUGAGGAAACAGGAUCAGCUGGGAAGUUGGAUGCAACAAAUGAUGAAGCCAGAAAUGGGGGCAUAGGCCUGUAAUUUCAGCGUUUGGAUGGUUGAAGCAGGAGGAUCACAAGUUCAAGGUUGACCCCUACUACAGAAUGAUUUCAAAGCCAACUUUAGUAAUUUAGUAAGGCUCUGUCUCAGACUCAUAAAUGAGCAAGGGCUGGGGGCAGAGCUCCAUGAUGGAGUGCUUUUUUAACAUUCAGGAAGGUCUGGGUUUAGUCUACUGUACUGCCCCAAACAAAACAAGACAGCAAUGGCCAAGUUAAAGGAAAGUUGGAGUGGAUCCAGCAAUACCAGGUGAAACAAACUGCAGAACAGAGAAUCGCCAGAGUUGGGCCUUACACAGUGUUAAAUGAGUUAAUCCAAAAGACAGCAAUCUUCAGUGUUCUACCAUCAAACAACGGAGCUCCAAAUGCUCAAAUAUGUGCGUAAGCAACUGAGUGAACUCAAAGGAGUAGCAGAGGAAGUUACCAUUGCCCCCGAAGUCUUCUCUAGCAAUUGCUUCAACAAUUAGAUAGACAAUUAGAAGGAUGUGCAAAAAGUCAAGAGCAUCACCAACCAACGUGAUCUCAUCAAUAUUUAUAGUCCUCUCUUUCAAACAUAGACUUCUCAAGUGCUCAUGGAAUACAGACCAACGUGGACCAUAUCCUGAUCCAUAAAACAAACUUAAGAGAUAGAAACAACAGUGUGUCUUCCAGCCAGGAAUCAAACUAGAAACCCAAAUAAUGACGAAAAUUUUAGCUUGAGUAGAGGCAGGAAAAGGGAAUAAAUGCAGUCAAAAAGUGUGAUGUCUUGAUUGUGAAACCUGACUCACAGGGUCAUGUGUUGAAGGUGUGGUUCCCUGCUGGUGGCACUGUGCUGGGUGGUGACAGAGACUGUAGGGGUGAGCCUAGCUGAAGGAUGUAGGCCACUGAGGUAAGUUCUUGGGGGAUGUCCCUUGUCCCAGCUUCUUCCUCUUGUCUGUCUCUGCUUCCUGGCCACCAGGGUGAGCUGCUUUGCUGUAUCGUUCUCCUACAGCCACACUAUUCCUCACCUCAGGCCUCUGACAGUGCCAUCAACUGACCACAGACUGAGACCUGUAAAACCAUGAACCCAGAUCCAUCUUUCCUCUUUAGGUUAUUUCUCUUGGAUAUUUGUCACAGUGAGGAAAAACCAAUAUAGAAAGGAAGAUAUCAAAUGGUCCCCAUCUUCAGAAGACACACAGGAAAGCUCACGGAACCUACCAACACAGCCAUCACACUAGUAAGUGAGUCAGCAAGGUUGCAGGAAAUAAGAUUCCAACAGCUUAUUCUGUCAUCACACACAUGGGCCAUUUGUGAGCGCUACUCACAUAGUGCAAACCCAACAAAACGUGCAUAGGACUUGUAUGCUGAAAAGCACAUGAUGUUUGUUGUGGUUUGAAUGUGAAAUGUUCCACAUAUGAUCAUGUUUGAACACUUUGUGCCCUGCUAGUGAUGCUCGAAAGGUUGUGGGACCUUUAGGAGGCGGAGCCUCCCUGGAGGAAGUCAGUCACCAGGGGUGGGCCAUGAGGCUUUUUAACUCGGCCCCAGUUUCUGCUCUCUCUGCUUCCUGAGUGUGGAUGCAGCAUGACUAGGCAGCCUCCUUCUCCUACCACUGGACUUCCCUGCCAUGGUAGACUGUAUUCCCCUGGAACUGUAAGCCAGAACCAACUCUCCCUUAAAAUGGUACUGGCAGCAAUGGGAAAGUAACUAAUACAAUGCUCAUGGAAGAAAUCAAAUGAAGUUUACAUAAUCACGGAGCCGUGUUACGUUUAUCACUGGAAAGCCUCAACAUGAUGAAGAUAUUAAUUUAAGAUUUCUUUACAAUCCUCAAAUGUAGGCACCAUUACCAUAAAGUUUACACAGAAAGGUAAAGGAACCAGAAAGUCAGAACAAGGCUGUAAAAGAACAAGUGUGAAGGAUUGGACAUUCUGGAUAUCCUGCAGUGGUCAGGACAGUACGGAUGGAGCCAGUGAGAAGGCUUACUGGGUAGACGGGCUUCCCACGCACGUGUGAGUUUGGUCCCUGGAACCCGUGGUAGACAGAGAGAACUGACUCCGUGAAGCUAUCCUCUGAUCUUCACCCAUGCGCCUUGGUGAGCACACCCCCACAUCACCCCACCCGAAAUAAUAAUACAUAAAAUACUUAAAGCAAACUAAAGACAAUGAUUUUAUGGAUAUUUGCCAGGUUAGAAAAGGAGCUUGUGGGUUUCUUUUUCUCAUUUGGAAAUUAUGAACUUAAAACAUCCUAGUUUAUCAUUGAUGGUUAUUUGAUAAAAUGCAGCACAAUGUUUAAAAAAUUAAAUAAAAAUGAAAAGUAAGGUGGUUACUUACUUUGUCAGAAUUUCUCUACAACUGUCUCUGGAUUGUGGACUGGCCCUGAGAGCAGAACCACUGAGGAGGAGCCAUUACUACAUUAUCAACUGUGUAUGACAGAACCCUGCUGUAUUAACCACAGUAGCACCACUGUGGUGAGGAGAGGCCACUGCCACAUUAUAUAGUGUAUACUGUAAUACAUUGCUGCAUUAAUCACAGUAUGGCAGAUCAGUGAAUCUCAGAAGAUGGAACACCAACCCCAGGCUAUCCCCGGGAUCUGCUCAGUGCCUCACUGUAUUAUUCAGGUUUCUCGUCGUUGUCAUCAAACACCUGACUGGAGCACUCAGUGGAUAAAUGUCUUGGGCUCACAGUUUUCAGGAACCAAGUCCCUCAUGGUGGGGAAGGCAUGGCCACGGGAAGCAGCAGCCUGCAGCAUGUUCACACCUCUGGGUCAGAAAACAGAACUCUCAGCUGGAGCCAGUUAUGGGUUCACUUUCAAGCCUUGUCCCCAGAGACCUGCCUCUGCUUGCUAGACCACAGUCCCAAAGGCUUCAUGAUCUCCCCAAAUAUAACAUAACCAUGUGACCACAUGCCUGAACCAUGACCUGUGGGAAACAUUCCCAACUCAAGCAAGAAGGAUCAAAAAGAUAAGGAAGAAAUUUACAAGGGAACAGAAACCAUGUCACAGCAAGACUGACACUUGUCACGGAUCAAGGCUCGAACCUUCUCUGUCGGCAGUCAUUAUGUGCCUGGUUAUUGCACACUUGAGUAGAAAAGAACACUGGUUUAUAAGUGCCCUUGGUGGAGCAGUAAAAAUCAUUAUUAAAAAAACCCCAGGCCUUGA